AGAAUCAACGCUGGCGGCGUGCCUAACACAUGCAAGUCGAGCGCCCGUAGCAAUACGGGAGCGGCAGACGGGAUAGUAACACGUGGGAACGCGCCCUUCGGUUCGGAAUAACUCAGGGAAACUUGAGCUAAUACCGAAUACGCCCUUACGGGGAAAGAUUUAUUGCCGAAGGAACGGCCCGCGUCCGAUUAGCUAGUUGGUGAGGUAAUGGCUCACCAAGGCUACGAUCGGUAGCUGGUCUGAGAGGAUGACCAGCAUCACUGGGACUGAGACACGGCCCAGACUCCUACGGGAGGCAGCAGUGGGGAAUAUUGGACAAUGGGCGCAAGCCUGAUCCAGCCAUGCCGCGUGGAUGAUGAAGGCCUUAGGGUUGUAAAGUCCUUUUAACGGGGAAGAUAAUGACGGUACCCGUAGAAUAAGCCCGGCUAACUUCGUGCCAGCAGCCGC
RNAcentral lists this ribosomal RNA (447 nucleotides) under uncultured bacterium. Its description in RNAcentral is "SSU rRNA". It matches the Rfam family "Bacterial small subunit ribosomal RNA", at positions 26 to 518 of the family's 1533-position model. The record is from RNAcentral.